Molecule: ribosomal RNA, 440 nt
Filed under: uncultured bacterium
Lineage: Bacteria
Description: partial 16S ribosomal RNA
Rfam family: Bacterial small subunit ribosomal RNA
Source: RNAcentral
CCUACGGGAUGCAGCAGUGGGGAAUAUUGCACAAUGGGGGAAACCCUGAUGCAGCGACGCCGCGUGAGUGAAGAAGUAUUUCGGUACGUAAAGCUCUAUCAGCAGGGAAGAAAAUGACGGUACCUGACUACGACGCCACGGCUAACUCCGUUACAGCAACCGCGGUAAUACGUAGGGGGCAAACGUUAACCGGAUUUACUGGGUUUAAAGGGAGCGUAGACGGCAGCGCAAGUCUGGAGUGAAAUCCCAUGGCUUAACCAUGGAACUGCUGUGGAAACUGUGGAGCUGGAGUGCAGGAGAGGUAAGCGGAAUUCCUAGUGUAGCGGUGAAAUGCGUAGAUAUCAGGAGGAACACCAGUGGCGAAGGCGGCUUACUGGACUGUAACUGACGUUGAGGCUCGAAAGCGUGGGGAGCGAACAGGAUUAGAUACCCGGGUAGUC